This 472-nucleotide ribosomal RNA is filed under the name uncultured bacterium. RNAcentral's name for it is "bacterial SSU rRNA". It matches the Rfam family "Bacterial small subunit ribosomal RNA", at positions 355 to 825 of the family's 1533-position model. The record is from RNAcentral.
UGGGGAAUUUUGGACAAUGGGCGCAAGCCUGAUCCAGCCAUACCGCGUGAGUGAAGAAGGCCUUCGGGUUGUAAAGCUCUUUCAGACGGAAAGAAACGGUUACGGCUAAUACCCGUGACUAAUGACGGUACCGUAAGAAGAAGCACCGGCUAACUGCGUGCCAGCAGCCGCGGUAAUACGUAGGGUGCGAGCGUUAAUCGGAAUUACUGGGCGUAAAGCGUGCGCAGGCGGUUUGGUAAGACAGAUGUGAAAUCCCCGGGCUUAACCUGGGAACUGCAUUUGUGACUGCCAGACUAGAGUGUAGCAGAGGGGGGUAGAAUUCCACGUGUAGCAGUGAAAUGCGUAGAUAUGUGGAGGAAUACCGAUGGCGAAGGCAGCCCCCUGGGCUAACACUGACGCUCAUGCACGAAAGCGUGGGGAGCAAACAGGAUUAGAUACCCACGUAGUCCCUGAGCGGGCUGGCAAGGCGCAU